UACGUAGGGCGCAAGCGUUGUCCGGAAUUAUUGGGCGUAAAGAGCUCGUAGGCGGCUUGUCACGUCCGGUGUGAAAGCCCGGGGCUUAACCCCGGGUCUGCAUUCGAUACGGGCUAGCUAGAGUGUGGUAGGGGAGAUCGGAAUUCCUGGUGUAGCGGUGAAAUGCGCAGAUAUCAGGAGGAACACCGAGGGCGAAGGCAGGUCUCUGGGCCACUACUGACGCUGAGAAGCGAAAGCGUGGGGAGCGAACAGG
Molecule: ribosomal RNA, 253 nt
Filed under: uncultured bacterium
Lineage: Bacteria
Description: partial 16S ribosomal RNA
Rfam family: Bacterial small subunit ribosomal RNA
Source: RNAcentral